UCCUACGGGGCGCAGCAGUGGGGAAUAUUGCACAAUGGGGGGAACCCUGAUGCAGCGACGCCGCGUGAGUGAAGAAGUAUCUCGGUACGUAAAGCUCUAUCAGCAGGGAAGAAAAUGACGGUACCUGACCAAGAAGCCCCGGCUAACUACGUGCCAGCAGCCGCGGUAAUACGUAGGGGGCAAGCGUUAUCCGGAUUUACUGGGUGUAAAGGGAGCGUAGACGGCAGAGCAAGUCUGAAGUGAAAUCCCGCGGCUUAACCCCGGGACUGCUUUGGAAACUG
This 281-nucleotide ribosomal RNA is filed under the name uncultured bacterium. Its description in RNAcentral is "partial 16S ribosomal RNA". It matches the Rfam family "Bacterial small subunit ribosomal RNA", at positions 337 to 635 of the family's 1533-position model. The record is from RNAcentral.